UACGUAGGGUGCAAGCGUUGUCCGGAAUUAUUGGGCGUAAAGAGCUCGUAGGCGGUUUGUUGCGUCGGCUGUGAAAUCCCGAGGCUCAACCUCGGGUCUGCAGUCGAUACGAGCAAACUAGAGUGUUGCAGGGGAGACUGGAAUUCCUGGUGUAGCGGUGAAAUGCGCAGAUAUCAGGAGGAACACCGGUGGCGAAGGCGGGUCUCUGGGCAACAACUGACGCUGAGGCGCGAAAGUGUGGGGAGCGAACAGG
Molecule: ribosomal RNA, 253 nt
Filed under: uncultured bacterium
Lineage: Bacteria
Description: partial 16S ribosomal RNA
Rfam family: Bacterial small subunit ribosomal RNA
Source: RNAcentral